CUGAUCAGGCGCAUGGGCCAACGUUCGUGCAACGAGCCCCCUUCACGUGAAAACCACGUGAAUGCGCCAUUAUCAG
This 76-nucleotide non-coding RNA is filed under the name unclassified sequences. RNAcentral describes it as "L4-Archaeoglobi ribosomal protein leader". It matches the Rfam family "L4-Archaeoglobi ribosomal protein leades". The record is from RNAcentral.